Molecule: long non-coding RNA, 524 nt
Organism: Triticum dicoccoides
Lineage: Eukaryota; Viridiplantae; Streptophyta; Magnoliopsida; Poales; Poaceae
Exons: 2
Source: RefSeq, a predicted model, not a curated record
GUGGUUAUCGUCGGCAAACGCGCUCCCCGACCGAAGAGACGGCCGGAGCGCUCGUCCUCUUCCACGCUGGCGGCCAAACCACCCGGAUCCAGCUUCAUCUUCCACUCCGGCAGCCGAAUCACCUCGAGUUUGCGGAACACCGGAUCUGCUCAGGAGUAGGGUUUCAUUGAGACUUUGAGAGCUACCUGCCAAUUGAGAGGCAUAUGCAAGUAAGGUUUACACCUGGGUGAUUUUGAUCAAUUUGGCGAACCUAUGUACAAAGCUGGUGCAUAUCGGAGGGCCACAGGUGUACAACCCGCCCCCAAAGAGGUGAUUUGCCGAAGGCUCCAAGGAAAUUGCCGAAAUGCACGAACUGUGGGGUGGUUGGACAUCGUCGCAAUGCGUGUGGCACUAAGAAGAGCAGGCCGUUUGAGCCAAACUUCCUCUAGUUACAAUCUUCAUCGCAGUGAUGGUUUAUGUAGUCGGCUUUGCAAUAUUUGUGGCAACUAUUUCUAUUUUAUGAUGCACAUGUUUCAUUUGCUGCC